AAAACCCUAAUAAUAUUCUCGCCUCUUCCUCUGCCUCUCUUCCUCUCGCCUCUGCAAUCUCUUCCUCUCGCCUCUUCUUCCUUUCUCUUGGCAGAUGUUGCUGCCCAGCUUCCUCUGGCGACAAGCGCCUGAGACUUUGCGGAUUUAGGGCGUAGAGGAUGGAUUACAGGCACAAAUAAUGGUUACAGCAUAUAAUUUAAUUGGAAAAAGUUGUGAGCUCCUCCUUUGUAAUACAAAUCCAAUGGUACCUUCCAUAAUGGAAAGAGGAGCGCCUUUUUGUGACCAAAUUUUUUAAACAAUUUAUGGAUGUUUAAUGUAAUUUUUUGUAACAAUCAAGUAUUCUCCUCAAACUCCAUUCUUUUUCCUAGCUCCUGGAUUCGUUGGGGGAUGGUGGAGUCCAUAUUUGUUCACAGCUACAAUAGCCUCAACAAAAUAUUUCUUUAAUCAUGUUUUAAGGAAAAAUACUUUAAUAAAAGCUUGCAGAAACAUCUCUCGCCAUUAUGAUCGAUAGCUUCUCCUUUGUCCAAUCGCUCAAGGUCUCCCUUCGUGUCCCUCGCCUCCCUCAGUAUAUUUUUUUUCGAGCUAUAAAUCUCUCCCUCUGUCUUUGAUUUUUUCAGGAGGACUAUGUUUGAAGGUCGUCGUGGAUCUCGCUAUUCAAAGUCGUCUGUGGUUUACGGUGGCAGAGUUCAUUGAUCUCGUCAUUCGAAUGCUGACAGCUCUAGGUUCUUGGUCUAAGGUGGCAGGUUUCGUGGAUCUCAACAUUCGAACGCUGGUGAUUUUAGGCUCAUCGUCUAUGGUGGCUGUAGGGUUCUGCUUGUAAUUUCUUUUUUCAAAUUUCAAUUUUAUUUCUGGAUGU
Cannabis sativa is the source of this 856-nucleotide long non-coding RNA. RefSeq lists it as uncharacterized. The record is from RefSeq and is a predicted model, not a curated record. The transcript is spliced from 3 exons. NCBI's taxonomy places the organism in Eukaryota, Viridiplantae, Streptophyta, Magnoliopsida, Rosales, Cannabaceae.